Molecule: ribosomal RNA, 586 nt
Filed under: uncultured bacterium
Lineage: Bacteria
Description: partial 16S ribosomal RNA
Rfam family: Bacterial small subunit ribosomal RNA
Source: RNAcentral
UGGGGAAUUUUGGACAAUGGGCGAAAGCCUGAUCCAGCAAUGCCGCGUGUGUGAAGAAGGCCUUCGGGUUGUAAAGCACUUUUGUCCGGAAAGAAAUCCUUGGCUCUAAUACAGUCGAGGGAUGACGGUACCGGAAGAAUAAGCACCGGCUAACUACGUGCCAGCAGCCGCGGUAAUACGUAGGGUGCAAGCGUUAAUCGGAAUUACUGGGCGUAAAGCGUGCGCAGGCGGUUUGCUAAGACCGAUGUGAAAUCCCCGGGCUCAACCUGGGAACUGCAUUGGUGACUGGCAGGCUAGAGUAUGGCAGAGGGGGGUAGAAUUCCACGUGUAGCAGUGAAAUGCGUAGAGAUGUGGAGGAAUACCGAUGGCGAAGGCAGCCCCCUGGGCCAAUACUGACGCUCAUGCACGAAAGCGUGGGGAGCAAACAGGAUUAGAUACCCUGGUAGUCCACGCCCUAAGCGAUGUCAACUAGUUGUUGGGGAUUCAUUUCCUUAGUAACGUAGCUAACGCGUGAAGUUGACCGCCUGGGGAGUACGGUCGCAAGAUUAAAAACUUAAAGGAAUUGACGGGGUCAUAGCUGUUUCCU